CCUACGGGGGGCAGCAGUGGGGAAUAUUGGACAAUGGGGGCAACCCUGAUCCAGCCAUGCCGCGUGUGUGAAGAAGGCCCUCGGGUUGUAAAGCACUUUCAGUGAGGAAGAACGCCUGGUGGUUAAUACCCAUCAGGAAAGACAUCACUCACAGAAGAAGCACCGGCUAACUCCGUGCCAGCAGCCGCGGUAAUACGGAGGGUGCGAGCGUUAAUCGGAAUUACUGGGCGUAAAGCGCGCGUAGGUGGCUUGAUAAGCCGGUUGUGAAAGCCCCGGGCUCAACCUGGGAACGGCAUCCGGAAAUGGCAAGCUAGAGUGCAGGAGAGGAAGGUAGAAUUCCCGGUGUAGCGGUGAAAAGCGUAGAGAUCGGGAGGAAUACCAGUGGCGAAGGCGGCCUUCUGGACUGACACUGACACUGAGGUGCGAAAGCGUGGGUAGCAAACAGGAUUAGAUACCCGAGUAGUC
This 465-nucleotide ribosomal RNA is filed under the name Vreelandella stevensii. RNAcentral describes it as "partial 16S ribosomal RNA". It matches the Rfam family "Bacterial small subunit ribosomal RNA", at positions 338 to 795 of the family's 1533-position model. The record is from RNAcentral. Lineage: Bacteria; Pseudomonadati; Pseudomonadota; Gammaproteobacteria; Oceanospirillales; Halomonadaceae.